RNAcentral lists this ribosomal RNA (253 nucleotides) under uncultured bacterium. RNAcentral's name for it is "partial 16S ribosomal RNA". It matches the Rfam family "Bacterial small subunit ribosomal RNA", at positions 524 to 776 of the family's 1533-position model. The record is from RNAcentral.
UACAGAGGUCUCAAGCGUUGUUCGGAUUCAUUGGGCGUAAAGGGUGCGUAGGCGGCAGCGCAAGUCAGGUGUGAAAUCCCGGGGCUCAACCCCGGAACUGCACUUGAUACUGCGUUGCUAGAGUACUGGAGAGGAGACUGGAAUUUACGGUGUAGCAGUGAAAUGCGUAGAUAUCGUAAGGAAGACCAGUGGCGAAGGCGAGUCUCUGGACAGUUACUGACGCUGAGGCACGAAGGCCAGGGGAGCAAACGGG